Molecule: long non-coding RNA, 632 nt
Filed under: Solanum tuberosum (potato)
Lineage: Eukaryota; Viridiplantae; Streptophyta; Magnoliopsida; Solanales; Solanaceae
Description: long non-coding RNA (STUB_LNC011817)
Source: RNAcentral
UUUUUGAUAACUGUAAUUAUAUUACCAGAUUUUCAAGACGUACAAAUUUGAAGCUUAGGACAUGGACAUAUUCCCAAGUCUCAAAGCCCAUCAUCCUUGCCUUAACCAGGCUCUUAUGCUAGAAAAUCUACCAAGGAUAGAAAUUUAAAUUCUGCAUUGCAUUAGCCAUUCUAGGAAUCAUGCUACUUCUACAAUGAAUUUCCUGAAUGAUUUGUUUUGUAAUCUCCUCUAUGGUCCUCUCCCUUUGUUGGAAAUUAAAAUUCUGUAAUUCCUCUCUUGCCAAAUGUAGUAAACAGCUGCAGCCAAUGUCAUUAUGUAUACUUCAUCUUGUAUAGUUUUCCUAUUAGCAUGCAGUGUAGUCCAUUCUAGCUCUUCAUUCCACCCUGCACUGCAUCUGUUGAUGGACAACCAAUGAAGUAACCUUUGCCAUAUUACAUGCAAAAAAUAGGUGCUGAUGUGUUUCUGGUUCUGCUUUACACAGUGAGCAAAUUGAGUCAGUGUGAAUCCCCCAUUUGUCUAGCCUGUCUUUUGUGUACAAUCUCCUUAAUAUAGCCAAAUACAGGAUGAAGGUCCAUUUAGGACUGCCUUGGUUAUUGCAAAUCAUUCUUCUCUAUGACACCUUGCUUAGUUCA